This 431-nucleotide ribosomal RNA is filed under the name uncultured beta proteobacterium. RNAcentral describes it as "bacterial SSU rRNA". It matches the Rfam family "Bacterial small subunit ribosomal RNA", at positions 198 to 610 of the family's 1533-position model. Lineage: Bacteria; Pseudomonadati; Pseudomonadota; Betaproteobacteria. The record is from RNAcentral.
GGAGAAAAGCAGGGGAUCGCAAGACCUUGCGCUCAUUGAGCGGCCGAUGCCUGAUUAGCUAGUUGGUGAGGUAAAGGCUUACCAAGGCGACGAUCAGUAGCUGGUCUGAGAGGACGACCAGCCACACUGGGACUGAGACACGGCCCAGACUCCUACGGGAGGCAGCAGUGGGGAAUUUUGGACAAUGGGGGAAACCCUGAUCCAGCCAUGCCGCGUGAGUGAGGAAGGCCUUCGGGUUGUAAAGCUCUUUCAGCCGGAACGAAACGGUCACGGCUAAUACCUGUGACUACUGACGGUACCGGAAGAAGAAGCACCGGCUAACUACGUGCCAGCAGCCGCGGGAAUACGUAGGGUGCGAGCGUUAAUCGGAAUUACUGGGCGUAAAGCGUGCGCAGGCGGUUUUGUAAGUCUUAAGGGAAAUCCCCGGGCUU